Molecule: ribosomal RNA, 421 nt
Filed under: uncultured bacterium
Lineage: Bacteria
Description: bacterial SSU rRNA
Rfam family: Bacterial small subunit ribosomal RNA
Source: RNAcentral
UAAGGAAUAUUGGUCAAUGGACGCAAGUCUGAACCAGCCAUGCCGCGUGAAGGAUGAAGGUCCUCUGGAUUGUAAACUUCUUUUAUCUGGGAAGAAACCCUUGAAUUCUUUCGAGGUUGACGGUACCAGAGGAAUAAGCACCGGCUAACUCCGUGCCAGCAGCCGCGGUAAUACGGAGGGUGCGAGCGUUAUCCGGAUUCACUGGGUUUAAAGGGUGCGUAGGUGGGUCUGUAAGUCAGUGGUGAAAUCUCCGAGCUUAACUUGGAAACUGCCAUUGAUACUAUAGCUCUUGAAUUUUCUGGAGGUAAGCGGAAUAUGUCAUGUAGCGGUGAAAUGCUUAGAUAUGACAUAGAACACCAAUUGCGAAGGCAGCUUGCUACAGGAACAUUGACACUGAGGCACGAAAGCGUGGGGAUCAAAC